Long non-coding RNA from Taeniopygia guttata (zebra finch), 3957 nucleotides. The record is from Ensembl. NCBI's taxonomy places the organism in Eukaryota, Metazoa, Chordata, Aves, Passeriformes, Estrildidae.
AUGGGAGGGACAGGACAAUUUAUCUGAGCCAGGCACUGUCUCAGUUAAUUUGCAGGGCCUUUGUAAUUCUUGAGCUAAAGGACAUCCAAGUUGUUCCUUUAAUGCUUGCUCUGGUGUCUGCAUGGCAUGAGUCUGUGCAGGGUGGACAUUUCUCCUGACCUACCACUGCUUUUUCUUGGGGCAGUCCUGAUUUAACCCCUUAUCCUGUAAGAACUUAAUCCUUCUCUCUUUUCCCUUUUUUAUUCUUAUCUCCAUUUACUGACUUUUUACUUCUGACUCAGACCUGAUCACCUCUUCUGGUUCCUGCUCUCUUUUUAUUAUGAUUUUCUUAAUUUUAAGACUACCUAGUGUGGCUCUCUUCACAGGCAGUUAGUGGCUCAUCAAUUUUCAUCCCAUUUUUGUGUGUCCCCUUGUGUUUCCCUCUGUGCUACUGUCUAUAAAGUUGUGAUGCUAUUUUCUGGCAGUCUUAUCUGAUACCUCAUCACUGCUGUGCUGCUUUCAUCAGAAUUCCCCUGCUCCAGCUUGAAUUUCUGGUAUCUCCACUGUGCCCUUCCUUGAGAGGUGUUUGGUAUGACUCAGGUUCCUGUAUGACAACAGUACUGACAGAGCAAUGAUUGCUCUUUGACUUUUGUGUGUGCUCUCUUUGGUCCACGUUAGAGUUGGCAGAAACACUUGGCUAAAUGCAGACUUCAUUCUGCUGACUGUGAUCCUCAAGAUGAGUAGAGGAAAACUCUCUCCCUCCAUCUACAAGAGGAGUUACAAGCAGGCCAGGGAAUGGCAUUGCAGCUGCGGUCUGUAGCAUGUCACUCUUGGGAAACCCUUAACCACAGCUGUUGCCUUUUCCUGUAAAUGACAAUAGUGUGACAUCACAUCCCUCAGCAGAGGGGAUUUACCUCCGUGUUUCUCCAGUAGCAGAAAUAAUAGCAUUGGGUGGAUGUGUGCUGUGAGCAUUUCAUGGGGCAGUAGCAAGUGAUGCUGAGCUGUGCUGGGAUUCCCAGGCUGCCCCCGUGGCAUUUGAACCCAGCUCUGGCAGAAGUUAGACGUCAGCACAAGUGCCUUGAUGUGGCCCAGCCUCUUCUGGUGGACAUCCUGCAACAAAUGGGAACCUCUGUGCUGUGUGUGCCUUCACCUCUGUCCUCCCUGUGCCUUCACUUGCUUCCCAAAUUAUCUUCACUCCUCACAACCUCUGCACACAUUUACAACGUGAUGAACUGAUCCAGACUAGGCUUGCCAGGACUGCCCAGCCCAGCCGGUCUGUCAGCAGCAAGAGAAGAAACAACACUGUGCCUUUAAGCCAAGCUGAUGUUUUUAUAAAAUACAAACCAGGAUAGAAAAUGCUUCCCCUUUUUUGUAACUCUCUGAUAUGUUUGAUUCUUUGAAAGAAUUGUAGAAGUCUGAGAAUUUAAAGCUAUAUCUUCCAGAAAACCAAUACAACGCUUCUCAGAUCUCCCAUCUCUCCUCUCAAACCUCUGAUUUGUGCUGCUGAAAAAGUUUGGAGAAAUUUGUUCUUUUUCUGUGUACAUUUUUAAGCAAGAACUUGGCUAAGUUUUAUUUUUCUUGAAUACCUUCACUUUUGGAUAUUACUUGUGACUAGAUCUGUUUAGAAAAGACUUAGACAAUAUAAGACAAUAUUCCACCAGAAAGUAUCUACAAGUUUUUAAUCAACUGCUCUCAACAAUAGCUCAGUCCCACUCAUGCACAGUUCAGGCAUGUAACUAAUCCUAUUAACUUGAAGUGAAGUGUAUUAAAGUGUUUAAAGGAUUAGAGUCUUAAUUACAGGCCAUCUACAAAGGUCAAAUAUCAAAGGCUGUUCAGAGCCUGAGUUUUAGCAUUUUCUGAAUGAGAGAAUGAGUAAUAUUUGUGUGAGGUCCCCUUUACCCUUUUCACUCAGCAUCCUUUCUGCUGGAGAGUUAAAUGGGUGUUCCAAUAUGGCAUUUAUUAACUAGGCUGAAUCAUCCUGGUGACCAACAGUCAGGUCUCCAGAUUAUCAGCUGGUUAGACAUUAGCAGGGCUGCCAUAUAUGCUCUAAAGAAGUUUGGGACUUGGAGAACGUGGAUUUGAACAAAUCAAGUUUGCAUAGCAUAGUGCCAGCCUAUUUUAUAGCUGCUUCUGAUUUGAAUUAUUAAUCACUAAGACUUUUUUCCUUAUUUUAUGUUAAACAGAAAUGGAAAGGAAGAACCUGGGAUGAUAGUUAGCUGGUCUUGACAGUGUAUAACUUAGACAUCUAACUUAGAUGUAUAAAUUAUGGUCUUUGGCUCCAAAGAGGAAUAUCAGAAAAAUAGGGACUGAAAUUGCCUUCUUCCUCCCACACAAAAAGCAUGAUCAAUUACAUUCGGUAAUUUCUGACAGACACUUGUUCAAUUUGCAUUUGAAACCCAGAAACCAAGGCUGACAUUCCCUGUAUUAUUCUCUCACUCAUUUUUCAUCUACACCUUGAGAAAGCGGAUUCUUACAUCUAACCCAGAUCUCUGUUGCCCACUGAGCCUUUUCAGCUGAUGAGAAGAAGAAGAUUGUCCCCUCCCUUAGACAUACAGCACACAUAUUUAGGGCCCUCCUACUGUGUCUCCCCUUUCUCUGGGAUAAACUACUCCAAUUCCUCCAAUGCUUCCACAUAAUACUUCUAACUCUCUAUCCCAAGCAGAAUACAAUACCCUGACUGAAGGCCUUCUAGCCCCGAGCAUGACAGUAGAAUGGCUUCAUUUGCCUGGCAAACAAUAUUUCUUUUUAUGUAGCUCCCAGUGCCAUUUGCCCUUUUUGUUGUGGCAUGGCUGAUUCCUGUUGGGUUUGUGAUCCAUGCUAAUCACCAUGACACUUUAUACAGUGAUGCUAUCAGACCAGUAAGUACACAACCUGUAUUUGUGAUGUUAGCAGUUCUGCAGAGUGUGAAAAAACAUCCUUUUAAUUAUUUCCUUUCCUCUACUGUAAUUUGCCAAGUGUGCUGAGAUCCUAGCCCUGUCCUCUAACUCUUCCUGCCCCUCCAAGACAGUGGGGCUGGCAAGAAAGUUGUCUGCUCUGCCAUCUAAAUUAUUUAAUGAAAAUAUACAAUUUCUGGUACUUUCGCAGAAUUCUGCUUGCUGUGUCCAGCCAAGUUAACAACAUGCUCAUGUUAAAUAUUUCAGUCCAGUUUACAGCAGUUUGGUACUCAUCCAUUUGUGAUUUUCUGGACUUGUUUGUGACAUGGAUGGCCACGUGAGACAGUGUUAGAAGCCCUUCUAAAACCAAGAGCUGGAAAUGACCCUGCUUGACAUAAUUUACUCUAGGCAAAGUAAACCGAGAAAUUUCUUUUUUGGGUACUUAAAUGUGUCAGUGGAGGCAGAGGUUUAACUCCAGCACCUCAUUUUUUAAUGACUCAGCAGGUCACAAAACAGGUACAGCAUCUUAACACAGGCAUUCAAGCAAGAAAGAACUUGAAUUCCUCUGUAUGUGAUUGAAAAUUGUUUUAAUCUAAACUAUAUGCAUUUAAAAUCCAGAACAAUCACAAAAUAUCACUUUUACAUUGCUGUGCAGUGGGGACAGAAACAAACUGUCAAGAAACAAACUUCCCUAGUCAUUAAAAGUGAUUUCAAGUAACUGUCUUAGGUUCUUUUAGGACAAUGUUCAGCUUCAUACUUUAAACAAAGGCAGUGAAACUUUUUAAUGCAGGGAUAAGUGUGAACAAACAGGUUGCACCCCACCAAGCAGUAUGUCACACUGUGAUUGCCUAUGAGCAUUCAGCAUACCCUAAGGAUAAACUGUAUUAUGAGAGUGAAGAAACAGGCCCUGUGGACCACCCAUCAAAACAGAACUCUACUUGAAAAUACCAACUUCAUGAAAAAUUCCCCACAUGAACAAAAAACAGUAGAUCUAGCAGAGAGUAAGGAUAAAGAUCCUGAAUAACAUCAGCUGGUGAAAUAGCUGUAUUUGCAGAGUAUUCUCCCCAUCAGAGAAGAAAGAAGAUUAAGAAUGGAAAAAAAAAAA